Molecule: ribosomal RNA, 253 nt
Filed under: uncultured bacterium
Lineage: Bacteria
Description: partial 16S ribosomal RNA
Rfam family: Bacterial small subunit ribosomal RNA
Source: RNAcentral
UACGUAGGUGGCAAGCGUUGUCCGGAUUUACUGGGCGUAAAGGAUGCGUAGGCGGACAUUUAAGUCAGAUGUGAAAUACCCGAGCUUAACUUGAGUGCUGCAUUUGAAACUGGGUGUCUAGAGUGCAGGAGAGGUAAGUGGAAUUCCUAGUGUAGCGGUGAAAUGCGUAGAGAUUAGGAAGAACACCAGUGGCGAAGGCGACUUACUGGACUGUAACUGACGCUGAGGCAUGAAAGCGUGGGGAGCAAACAGG